RNAcentral lists this ribosomal RNA (114 nucleotides) under Sorex araneus (European shrew). The record is from RNAcentral. Lineage: Eukaryota; Metazoa; Chordata; Mammalia; Eulipotyphla; Soricidae.
UUCUAUGUCCAUAUUGCUGUAACCAUGCCUGAUCUCCUGUGAUUUAGAGCUAAGCACAGUCAGGCAUAUUAGUAAUUGAAUGGGAAUAUAUUAAAAGGUAAUUAGGUUUAGAUU